This 514-nucleotide ribosomal RNA is filed under the name Oplurus cuvieri. Its description in RNAcentral is "partial 16S ribosomal RNA". It matches the Rfam family "Bacterial large subunit ribosomal RNA", at positions 1857 to 2611 of the family's 2925-position model. The record is from RNAcentral. Lineage: Eukaryota; Metazoa; Chordata; Lepidosauria; Squamata.
GCCUGCCCAGUGAAUAUUUUAACGGCCGCGGUAUCCUAACCGUGCAAAGGUAGCGUAAUCACUUGUCCCCUAAAUAGGGACCUGUAUGAACGGCUAAAUGAGGACUAACCUGUCUCCUUUGACUAAUCAGUGAAACUGAUCUUUCGGUUAAAAAGCCGAAAUAAACACAUAAGACGAGAAGACCCUGUGGAGCUUUAAAUUCUAACCAAACCAUGCCAACACAGCAUAUCACAUAUGGCCAACAAUUUUAAGUUGGGGCGACUUCGGAACAAAAUAAAACUUCCGAGCAUAAAGAGCAUUCCUCUAACCAAGACCAACAAGUCAAAGCAAAUAUUGACCCAGUACUACUGAUCAACGAACCAAGUUACCCCAGGGAUAACAGCGCCAUCUUCUUCAAGAGUCCAUAUCGACAAGAAGGUUUACGACCUCGAUGUUGGAUCAGGACACCCAAAUGGUGCAGCAGCUAUUAAAGGUUCGUUUGUUCAACGAUUAACAGUCCUACGUGAUCUGAGUU